RNAcentral lists this ribosomal RNA (496 nucleotides) under uncultured bacterium. RNAcentral's name for it is "partial 16S ribosomal RNA". It matches the Rfam family "Bacterial small subunit ribosomal RNA", at positions 28 to 506 of the family's 1533-position model. The record is from RNAcentral.
GAUGAACGCUGGCGGCGUGCCUAAUACAUGCAAGUCGAGCGAACAGACGAGGAGCUUGCUCCUCUGACGUUAGCGGCGGACGGGUGAGUAACACGUGGAUAACCUACCUAUAAGACUGGGAUAACUUCGGGAAACCGGAGCUAAUACCGGAUAAUAUAUUGAACCGCAUGGUUCAAUAGUGAAAGACGGUUUUGCUGUCACUUAUAGAUGGAUCCGCGCCGCAUUAGCUAGUUGGUAAGGUAACGGCUUACCAAGGCGACGAUGCGUAGCCGACCUGAGAGGGUGAUCGGCCACACUGGAACUGAGACACGGUCCAGACUCCUAGGGGAGGCAGCAGUAGGGAAUCUUCCGCAAGGGGCGAAAGCCUGACGGAGCAACGCCGCGUGAGUGAUGAAGGUCUUCGGAUCGUAAAACUCUGUUAUUAGGGAAGAACAAAUGUGUAAGUAACGAUGCACGUCUUGACGGUACCUAAUCAGAAAGCCACGGCUAACUACGU